CACAGGACAAGGAGUACGUGGGUUUUGCUGCCCUCCCCAACCAGCUGCACCGCAAGUCUGUCAAGAAGGGGUUUGACUUCACACUAAUGGUGGCAGGGGAGUCAGGCCUAGGGAAAUCCACCCUCAUCAACAGCCUCUUCCUCACCAACCUCUAUGAGGAUCGCCAGGUGCCAGAGGCCAGUGCUCGCUUGACACAGACCCUGGCCAUUGAGCGCCGGGGUGUAGAGAUCGAGGAAGGGGGUGUGAAGGUGAAGCUGACCCUUGUGGACACGCCUGGCUUUGGGGACUCAGUGGACUGCUCUGACUGCUGGUUUCCGGUGGUGAAAUUCAUCGAGGAGCAAUUUGAGCAGUACCUUAGGGAUGAGAGUGGCCUGAACCGGAAGAACAUCCAGGACUCCCGAGUCCACUGCUGCCUCUACUUCAUCUCACCCUUCGGCCGGGGGUCUGGUGGGGGGAUCCUGGGGGCUGGGGCAUUUAGGGAGGGCUGGGGGGUCUCUGCCCCCUGAGGCUGGACAAUGACCAAUCCCUGGGUGCAGGCUCCGGCCCCUAGAUGUGGCCUUCCUCCGGGCAGUACACGAGAAAGUCAACAUCAUCCCAGUCAUUGGCAAAGCGGAUGCCCUGAUGCCCCAGGAAACCCAGGCCCUCAAGCAGAAGAUCCGGGAUCAGUUGAAGGAAGAGGAGAUCCACAUCUACCAGUUCCCCGAAUGUGACUCUGAUGAAGAUGAAGACUUCAAGAGGCAGGAUGCAGAGAUGAAGGUGUGGGAAACAAAGAAGGAAGGCAGGCCGGGCACGGUGGCUCAUAUCUGUAAUCCCAGCACUUUGGGAGGCUGAGACGGGCGGAUACCCUGAGGUCAGAAGUUCGAGACCAGCCUGGGCAACAUGGCAAGACCCCCACCUCUACUAAAAAUACACAAAUUAGCCAGGAAAGCAUCCCUUUUGCAGUCGUGGGAUCAUGCGAGGUGGUGAAGGAUGGUGGGAACCGACCGGUGAGGGGACGCCGCUACUCCUGGGGGACCGUGGAGGUGGAGAACCCACAUCACUGCGAUUUCUUGAACCUGCGACGGAUGCUGGUGCAGACACACCUGCAGGACCUGAAAGAGGUGACGCACGAUCUGCUCUACGAGGGCUACCGGGCCCGCUGCCUACAGAGCCUGGCCCGGCCUGGGGCUCGCGAUCGAGCCAGCCGCAGUAAACUUUCCCGCCAGAGCGCCACGGAGAUCCCGCUGCCCAUGCUGCCUCUGGCGGACACCGAGAAGCUGAUCCGCGAGAAAGACGAAGAGCUGCGCCGCAUGCAAGAGAUGCUGGAGAAGAUGCAGGCCCAGAUGCAGCAGAGCCAGGCCCAGGGCGAGCAGUCAGACGCCCUCUGAGGCCACGCCCCGCCCGGCCUUACCUCGGCUCCGCCUUCAGUCGGCCUCUUGUCCAAUCCCCGCGCCCCACACUGCCCAGCGCCCCCCGGACCUCCGCGGGUGCCGCCCUCGCGCGGGCUAGGGGUAGGUUCUCCUCGCCUGGACCCGUAUCCCCGCCCCGGCGCUGGUCCCGCCCACCCAGACACCGCCCACUUCCAGGCCCGGGACCUGCACAGUCUCCGACUGCAUCACUGUCUUCCGGGGUUCCCC
Molecule: small RNA, 1616 nt
Filed under: Pongo abelii (Sumatran orangutan)
Lineage: Eukaryota; Metazoa; Chordata; Mammalia; Primates; Hominidae
Description: retained intron
Source: RNAcentral